This 433-nucleotide ribosomal RNA is filed under the name uncultured bacterium. RNAcentral describes it as "partial 16S ribosomal RNA". It matches the Rfam family "Bacterial small subunit ribosomal RNA", at positions 29 to 507 of the family's 1533-position model. The record is from RNAcentral.
AACGAACGCUGGCGGCAUGCCUAACACAUGCGAGUCGAACGAGACCUUCGGGUCCAGUGGCGCACGGGUGCGUAACGCGUGGGAACCUGCCCUUAGGUUCGGAAUAACUCCCCGAAAGGGGUGCUAAUACCGGAUAAUGUCUUCGGACCAAAGAUUUAUCGCCUUUGGAUGGGCCCGCGUUGGAUUAGCUAGUUGGUAGGGUAAAAGCCUACCAAGGCGACGAUCCAUAGCUGGUCUGAGAGGAUGAUCAGCCACACUGGGACUGAGACACGGCCCAGACUCCUACGGGAGGCAGCAGUGGGGAAUAUUGGACAAUGGGCGAAAGCCUGAUCCAGCAAUGCCGCGUGAGUGAUGAAGGCCUUAGGGUUGUAAAGCUCUUUUACCCGGGAUGAUAAUGACAGUACCGGGAGAAUAAGCGCCGGCUAACUCCGUG